This is a long non-coding RNA of Dreissena polymorpha, 1036 nucleotides long. RefSeq lists it as uncharacterized. The transcript is spliced from 5 exons. The record is from RefSeq and is a predicted model, not a curated record. Lineage: Eukaryota; Metazoa; Mollusca; Bivalvia; Myida; Dreissenidae.
CCGGGGCGUUUUUCGGAAUUAUGGGAGGACCAUUGUUGGGGCUAAUUUGCCUGGGAAUGUUGUUUCCUUGGGCAAACAAAUGGACUGGCAACCAGUCUAUCUCUUCUGCUCUGGAUUGGACUGGGCCAAGCUAUCACAAGAACCAGCGUUGUGAUCACGCCGCCGGUGGAGACUGUCGGCUGCAACUGGACUGCUAUUAACAAAAUGACCCCAUCCCUCUCCUACCGACCACCACGCCGGAUGCGCAAAGCAUCCCGUCACUUCGAAUUAUGAUAAAUACGAUGGUAUCAACCGCCUUUACACGGUGUCUUACAUGUGGUACAGUGCUAUUGCCGUGCUCACGUGCGUCGUUAUCGGCCUCCUUGUCAGCAUUGUCACCGGCAUUCAGGAUCCACAGGAGCUCGACCCUAAGCUGGUAUGUCCGUUCUUCGACGUUUUCUGCCCAUACCUACCAAAGAGGCUGCGCAGGCCGCUGAGGUUCGGGGUCAGACACUGAGAGGGAAUACAUGAAAAAGGCACACCGGAAAAGCGACACCAGCAUCUCGCCAGUCUUCAUCUAGACAAUGACAUCGCAACGCUACCUCUAAUCGACGUCCGGGCUUAACUUACGCACGCUAUCUGAAGUAAAAUGUCCAUUUUAAAGCGUUAGAAGUCUAUUGGGCACCCGACGCUAGUAUCUUAUGCACAUGACGUACAAAUCUCAACAGUAAAUCUGGACACUCGCACUACGUAAGCUCUGCCCAUGAGCCACUAUAGGCGGUGCAUUUUUCAGCAAGUUAACCUUUUUUUCUGAAUCCACCUACAAUCUAGUUGUAAGCAUCUCGAUAUCCAAUCGGCCGUUAAUGCGAACAAAGCCUUCUAACGGUUAAGUUUUUUUCCAUGUUUGAUUGCAAGUGGCAAAUCUAAGUAAUAUGCCCAUUCAGAAGAAUAACUGUUUUGGUGUCAUAAAUAACAUUCAAAUGAAACUAAUCACUGAAUGAAACAUGGUUACAAUGAUAUUUUAUUUAAAAAUUAACGUGUCUAGUAUUUAAAUAUC